AAGUAGCCAACCUGCCAAACAAAGCUUUUCUGUCUGAAUGUGCCUUCUGAUAUUGUUAGUGUAAUACCAAGAGCAAGCCAAUUAACUGGGGUUAAAGAGUGACAGCCUAAGAUAGGUUAUGUAUGAA
Long non-coding RNA from Nanorana parkeri, 127 nucleotides. RefSeq lists it as uncharacterized. NCBI's taxonomy places the organism in Eukaryota, Metazoa, Chordata, Amphibia, Anura, Dicroglossidae. The transcript has 3 exons. The record is from RefSeq and is a predicted model, not a curated record.